This 549-nucleotide ribosomal RNA is filed under the name Ricinoides cf. afzelii DNA105884. Its description in RNAcentral is "SSU rRNA". It matches the Rfam family "Eukaryotic small subunit ribosomal RNA", at positions 24 to 566 of the family's 1831-position model. The record is from RNAcentral. Lineage: Eukaryota; Metazoa; Arthropoda; Arachnida; Ricinulei; Ricinoididae. RNAcentral also lists the same sequence under 1 other name.
UCAUAUGCUUGUCUCAAAGAUUAAGCCAUGCAUGUCUAAGUACAUGCCUCAGUAAGGUGAAACCGCGAAUGGCUCAUUAAAUCAGUUAUGGUUCCUUAGAUCGUACCAUUUUACUUGGAUAACUGUGGUAAUUCUAGAGCUAAUACAUGCAGAUAGAGCUCCGACCUUCGGGGACGAGCGCUUUUAUUAGACCAAGGCCAAUCGGACUUCGGUCCGUCACCCAUGGCGACUCUGGAUAACUUUGGGCUGAUCGCACGGUCUUGCACCGGCGACGCAUCUUUCAAGUGUCUGCCUUAUCAACUGUCGAUGGUAGGUUAUGCGCCUACCAUGGUCGUAACGGGUAACGGGGAAUCAGGGUUCGAUUCCGGAGAGGGAGCCUGAGAAACGGCUACCACAUCCAAGGAAGGCAGCAGGCGCGCAAAUUACCCACUCCCGGCACGGGGAGGUAGUGACGAAAAAUAACAAUACGGGACUCUAACGAGGCCCCGUAAUUGGAAUGAGUACACUCUAAAUCCUUUAACGAGGAUCUAUUGGAGGGCAAGUCUGGUG